This 866-nucleotide ribosomal RNA is filed under the name uncultured Arcobacter sp. RNAcentral describes it as "bacterial SSU rRNA". It matches the Rfam family "Bacterial small subunit ribosomal RNA", at positions 198 to 1080 of the family's 1533-position model. Lineage: Bacteria; Pseudomonadati; Campylobacterota; Epsilonproteobacteria; Campylobacterales; Arcobacteraceae. The record is from RNAcentral.
AGGGAAAUGCUUUUGUGCUCGAGGAUGGGACUGUACGGUAUCAGAUAGUUGGUGGGGUAAUGGCCUACCAAGUCAAUGACGCCUAACUGGUUUGAGAGGAUGAUCAGUCACACUGGAACUGAGACACGGUCCAGACUCCUACGGGAGGCAGCAGUGGGGAAUAUUGCACAAUGGAGGAAACUCUGAUGCAGCAACGCCGCGUGGAGGAUGACACAUUUCGGUGCGUAAACUCCUUUUAUAUAGGAAGAUAAUGACGGUACUAUAUGAAUAAGCGCCGGCUAACUCCGUGCCAGCAGCCGCGGUAAUACGGAGGGCGCAAGCGUUACUCGGAAUCACUGGGCGUAAAGAGCGUGUAGGCGGAUAGAUAAGUCAGAAGUGAAAUCCUAUGGCUCAACCAUAGAACUGCUUUUGAAACUGUUUAUCUAGAGUGUGGGAGAGGUAGAUGGAAUUUCUGGUGUAGGGGUAAAAUCCGUAGAGAUCAGAAGGAAUACCGAUUGCGAAGGCGAUCUACUGGAACAUAACUGACGCUGAGACGCGAAAGCGUGGGGAGCAAACAGGAUUAGAUACCCUGGUAGUCCACGCCCUAAACGAUGUACACUAGUUGUUGUGAGGCUUGACCUUGCAGUAAUGCAGUUAACACAUUAAGUGUACCGCCUGGGGAGUACGGUCGCAAGAUUAAAACUCAAAGGAAUAGACGGGGACCCGCACAAGCGGUGGAGCAUGUGGUUUAAUUCGACGAUACACGAAGAACCUUACCUGGUCUUGACAUAGGAAGAACUUACUAGAGAUAGUUUGGUGCUAGCUUGCUAGAACUUCCAUACAGGUGCUGCACGGCUGUCGUCAGCUCGUGUCGUGAGAUGUUGGGU